GACAGAGGGGGCAAGCGUUGCUCGGAAUUACUGGGCGUAAAGGGCGCGUAGGCGGGAUGGCAAGUCGGUCGUGAAAUCCCUCGGCUCAACUGAGGAGCGUCGAUCGAAACUGCCGUUCUUGAGGGUUGCAGAGGAGACUGGAAUUCCCGGUGUAGCGGUGAAAUGUGUAGAGAUCGGGAGGAACACCGGUGGCGAAGGCGGGUCUCUGGGCAACUCCUGGCGCUGAGGCGCGAAAGCGUGGGGAGCAAACGGG
RNAcentral lists this ribosomal RNA (253 nucleotides) under uncultured bacterium. RNAcentral's name for it is "partial 16S ribosomal RNA". It matches the Rfam family "Bacterial small subunit ribosomal RNA", at positions 524 to 776 of the family's 1533-position model. The record is from RNAcentral.